UAGGGAAUCUUCCGCAAUGAGCGAAAGCCUGACGGAGCAACGCCGCGUGAGUGAUGAAGGUCUUCGGAUCGUAAAACUCUGUUAUUAGGGAAGAACAAAUGUGUAAGUAACUAUGCACAUCUUGACGUUACCUAAUCAGAAAGCCACGGCUAACUACGUGCCAGCAGCCGCGGUAAUACGUAGGUGGCAAGCGUUAUCCGGAAUUAUUGGGCGUAAAGCGCGCGUAGGCGGUUUUUUAAGUCUGAUGUGAAAGCCCACGGCUCAACCGUGGAGGGUCAUUGGAAACUGGAAAACUUGAGUGCAGAAGAGGAAAGUGGAAUUCCAUGUGUAGCGGUAAAAUGCGCAGAGAUAUGGAGGAACACCAGUGGCGAAGGCGACUUUCUGGUCUGUAACUGACGCUGAUGUGCGAAAGCGUGGGGAUCAAACA
This 427-nucleotide ribosomal RNA is filed under the name uncultured bacterium. Its description in RNAcentral is "partial 16S ribosomal RNA". It matches the Rfam family "Bacterial small subunit ribosomal RNA", at positions 355 to 774 of the family's 1533-position model. The record is from RNAcentral.